Non-coding RNA from Lepisosteus oculatus (spotted gar), 244 nucleotides. Lineage: Eukaryota; Metazoa; Chordata; Actinopteri; Semionotiformes; Lepisosteidae. The record is from RefSeq and is a predicted model, not a curated record.
CCAGAGAGGACAGGGCGAGACCACCGGUGACUCUGACCUCAGGACAGGUCUUCUGCAGGGGGCAGCACAGCUCCGACUGGCCCAGUGUUCCCUGUAAUAGAAGAUCACUGGCUGUUCACUGGGCUGCUUAUUCUCUGUGAUGGACAGACACUGGACUGGUUGUAGGUGGGCUCCUGAAAAGACUGCUGAGCCCAGAAGCAGGAGUGUGAUUAGAGAGGAGGGACAGGACAGAAGUGUGGAGCUC